Molecule: small nuclear RNA, 75 nt
Filed under: Cervus elaphus hippelaphus
Lineage: Eukaryota; Metazoa; Chordata; Mammalia; Artiodactyla; Cervidae
Source: RNAcentral
GAAACAAUACAGGUAAGAUUAACAUGGCCCCUGGGUAAGGACGACAGGCAAAUUGGUGAAAGCAUUCCAUAUUUU